UGUUACCUACGGGAGGCAGCAGUGAAGAAUAUUGGUCAAUGGGCGAGAGCCUGAACCAGCCAAGUCGCGUGAGGGAAGACGGUCCUAUGGAUUGUAAACCUCUUUUGUCAGGGAGCAAUUGGCGCUACGCGUAGCGUUAUCGAGAGUACCUGAAGAAAAAGCAUCGGCUAACUCCGUGCCAGCAGCCGCGGUAAUACGGAGGAUGCGAGCGUUAUCCGGAUUUAUUGGGUUUAAAGGGUGCGUAGGCGGAAUGCCAAGUCAGCGGUAAAAUCGCGGGG
This 278-nucleotide ribosomal RNA is filed under the name uncultured bacterium. Its description in RNAcentral is "partial 16S ribosomal RNA". It matches the Rfam family "Bacterial small subunit ribosomal RNA", at positions 333 to 607 of the family's 1533-position model. The record is from RNAcentral.